GCUGGUGUAGCUCAGUCGGAAGAGCAAUCGCCUUGUAAGCGCUCUUGUUGCAGGUUCAAAUCCUGUCACCAGCCCCA
Molecule: transfer RNA, 77 nt
Filed under: Desertifilum sp. SIO1I2
Lineage: Bacteria; Bacillati; Cyanobacteriota; Cyanophyceae; Desertifilales; Desertifilaceae
Description: tRNA-Thr
Rfam family: tRNA
About the family: Transfer RNA (tRNA) molecules are approximately 80 nucleotides in length.
Source: RNAcentral